UACGUAGGGUGCAAGCGUUGUCCGGAAUUAUUGGGCGUAAAGAGCUCGUAGGCGGUCUGUCGCGUCGGAUGUGAAAACUCGGAGCUUAACUCCGAGCCUGCUUCCGAUACGGGCAGACUAGAGGUAGGCAGGGGAGAGCGGAACUCCUGGUGUAGCGGUGGAAUGCGCAGAUAUCAGGAAGAACACCGGUGGCGAAGGCGGCUCUCUGGGCCUUACCUGACGCUGAGGAGCGAAAGCGUGGGUAGCGAACAGG
Molecule: ribosomal RNA, 253 nt
Filed under: uncultured bacterium
Lineage: Bacteria
Description: partial 16S ribosomal RNA
Rfam family: Bacterial small subunit ribosomal RNA
Source: RNAcentral